UGAGGAAUUAUGCGCAAUGGGGGAAACCCUGACGCUGCGACGCCGCGUGGGUGAUGAAGGUCUUCGGAUCGUAAAACCCUGUCGAGAGGGACGAAUAGCUUGGGUGUCAAUACCAUCCAAGCCUGACUGUACCUCUGGAGGAAGCCCCGGCUAACUCCGUGCCAGCAGCCGCGGUAAUACGUAGGGGGCGAGCGUUAUUCGGAAUUACUGGGCGUAAAGCGCGUGUAGGCGGUCCUGCAAGUCUGAUGUGAAAGCCCCGGGCUUAACCCGGGAAGUGCAUUGGAAACUGUGGGACUUGAGUACUGGAGAGGAUGGGGGAAUUCCCGGUGUAGAGGUGAAAUUCGUAGAGAUCGGGAGGAAUAUCAGUGGCGAAGGCGCCCAUCUGGACGGUAACUGACGCUGAGACGCGAAAGCGUGGGGAGCAAACA
Molecule: ribosomal RNA, 428 nt
Filed under: uncultured prokaryote
Description: bacterial SSU rRNA
Rfam family: Bacterial small subunit ribosomal RNA
Source: RNAcentral